AUUUAAAAUGUCACUGACCUGGUCAUAAAAUAUCAAGAACAAGUAAGCCUUGAAACACUGAGACCAUUAGGAAACAGGGCAGCAGCCCCCCGAGUCACCUGUGUAAUGGAGGAUCAGGUGUACUUAAGAGACUGCUUGUGCUGAGGAAUCGAUCUUUUGGCAUUGCGAGACCAAGACUGGUACUUACGAACUUGUAGACGGUCUUCAUGGCCGGAUUGGCUUUUGUUUUUACGGUAUUCAGAAUUGCUCCGCUUCCUUUCUAUAAUAAAAGACGUCAAUCAUUGGCAGAGCCGAAGGUAGCAAAGGCCAACACCAAUGAAGACCUUUUCACUUUAGUCAAGGCAGGCAACACUGCAGGAGCGUGGGAGGUGAGUAAAGAAGCAGGCCCAGGAGGCCCUGGACCCGUGGCAGCGACAGCUGGGACUGUGGCAGAACCGCUCGGGGUAGGGGUGGGGGAGGGGUGUGUGUGCAAAUGUGCCUGUGGGAAUGUGUCUGGGUGGUAUGUAGGGAAUGAGGAGUGCGACAAGUAACUGAGGGAGGCUCCAAGUUCAGAGCUCCGCCUGCUGUCCCAGGCUGUCUGAGGCAAGGGUUUUCUCAUAGUCACUGGUGGCUUUUCACGAAUUGAGUUACCACGGACAAUGGUCAGGGAGUUUCAAAACCACUGACUCUCUAGCUAGCACCAAGGUGGGGCAGAAAACAGGUCCUGAUCAAACAGGAGUAUCUGGAAACACACUGCCCCCACCCUGGGCAACUUCCUUUCCUCACCUGGGUUUUCUGUGUUGUUUUAAAACACUCUCUGGUAGGCUGCCUUCUUAUACAUCUAAAUCUUGAGAAUAUGAAAGACUGAGUGGCGUCAAUGUCAGCCAGAGCUGUGGUGAAAAUCCUCCGCACCAGUGUCUUGCUCAUGCUCUUUAGGAAGUGGGGAGGAAGGUGCAGAGCAACGAUUUUCCACCACCCAAGAGAGGAAGUGAAGGCAGCCGAAGCCAUCUUUCUGGGGCUGUCUGCAAGCCUGUUCUUCAGUCUCAUCCUUGAGGGUGUGUGGUAAGGACUCAUCUGUCAGGUUCUGAGGCCUGGAGCCAAGGGAGGCCUGAUCACAGCCUUGGAAGAUUUCUGGCCUGGGAAGUGGGGCUCACCAGAGCAGGCGGUGUAUCUUGGAGACACAGAAGCAACUCAACGUGGUGGAGCGUGUAACCUGGAGUCAGAAGACCUGAAAUGAGCUAGCCAUGUGACUGCAGCCACACUACUAAGUCUUGGAAGGACUUUGGAUGGCACUCAGGAGAUGGGCUGAAGGCUGUGCUGGGAGCACUAUGGUGGCUGGAUUUCUUGUCGUUUUCCAAUGAGGCUCGCCCAUGAAAUGAUGGACAAUCUGGAUCUCAGGGGAUGGCAGACUCUCCCAACACAGUGGCUAGCAGGUAUCUCAUCUUUGGGAAUUUUGAAUCACUAUGAUUAGUCCUCUUUCCUGAUGAUGAUGAUAAUGUUAGCAGCGACCAUUUCUUGAGAGCCUACUCUGCACAAACAAUAUUUAUUCUAGCUAUCAACAGUUGUGCUGAAUAGUUUAGGGGGUGUGUACUGGUAUCUGCUACUUACUCUGAAAUGCAUACAAAAUAAGAUCCACUGACAGAUAUGCAAUAAAACAAGCACAGUACAAUGUCCACAGCACUAUCUAGAUGAUAGGUAGGUCUAAUAAGAUCUUUUUGCACUGUAAGAUUCUUUUCUAUAUGUUUGAACAUCUUUAUAAUAAAAUGUUUGGUAGAAAACUCACAAGGGGACAUUAAGUGCCAGAACUUCAGUGGAGCAGACUGGCGACAAGAUGCAUUAUUCCACAAGUUAUUUGUCUUGAGUUAUUUGUUUUUCACAAGUUAUUUGCCAACCAUGACAUCAUGUUAAUUCAAUUUAUUGCUAUAGGAAGAUUUUAAAGGGAGUUAUAAAUGAGAAAAAAAUGAUUUCUUGUGCAUGUACUAUGAGCCAGGUCUGGAGUAAGCACAGGGACAACAAGGAUUAAGCCAGUCAAAGCCUCCCUGCUCCCUGACUGUGAAGCUCAAACAAGAACACAUGCAGAAUAUGUGGCAAGCAUGGAAGGGCGUCUACAGACCUGGGAGGAGAGUUCUGAGAGAUCAAGUGACUUGCCCAAGUCCAUGUAACAAGCAGGUGGGGUGGAGUCUGAGUCUAGAAGUUGGGAUUCUUUCCCCUGUCACCUGCCAUCUUGGAAAAACCCUUAUUUGCUCUCCACGAGAAGAGCUACAAGGAAAACUGGCAUCCCAAAGCCAUUUCCUUUUCAAUCCUAUCAUCAGAGCCAGUCCUAGAACAUCAGCAAAGCAACUGCUGCAGUGUUAACCCCUGUCACUUGGGAAACCCGUUAGUUUUCAAGGUGGCUUGUUAAUGGCUGUAUCACAUGACCCAUGCAAAGCCCCACAGGACUCUGGAAUUCCUGCCAUUUCAGCUCACGUGACCAGGCCUGGCGCUUAGGGGCUGGAGUGACAGGCUGUUUGCCCAGCCUUCCUUUCCCUCUGGCCCAUAGCUGGUGGGAUGUGUAAGGGCUGGUGAGCUUGGCAGGAAGAAAAGAGAAGCUGACCAAAGAGAGUAUUUGGACUGGACAGUAACAUGCCUUUUGCUGCCCACUUGGCUUGUUUACCCCUCUCAGAAAAUGAAGGCCCUUUGUCUAUAACCUCCAUGAGACCAGAUAAUUCUUCCUCUCCUAUGGUGGCCCUUCAGGAGUUUCUUGUUUCCAGAGAAGCUCCUGGCAGGUUACUGUGUGGUUCUAGCCAGGGACUGUCAAAGGACUUCCAAGAAGUCUUGCAAAAAGCUUUUAUUUGGUAAUGAUAAAUAGGAAGUCCAAUAUCGGUUGAAUUGGUUUUACUGGCAACAUAUUCUGGUAUCAGGGUUCUCCCCCAUCACCAAAUAUGAACUUGUAAUUUGAGGUACUUAUAAACAAAGUUGUUUGAGAAAUACAAGAUAAAAGAUCUUCUGCCAAUGGGAUGUUUUACUGUCUAAAGUUUCUUACCCAUGAGACCUUCAACUGGCCCUGAGGAACUGCCUUUCCUGGUUCCCAGACUGCCUCUCCUGCCUAGAUAGCAGCAGGUAUUCUUCCCUGGGUCCCUGCUUCCGGCUCUCUCCACCUGAUCCUGCUGUCUCACCACGAGGGGAGGCUUCCUGAAGCACCCCUCUGAUCACGCUGGCUAAGUCCUUCACUGCCUUUGUGACAAGCUCCAAGGCUCUUCUAAGCCAGCAUGCCAGUCCCCCAAGACCCCUCUGGCUACACUUCCUGACAACCCCACCUCCUCAAAGUAUUAAUCCCUGCCAACCAUCUGAAGCCUCCUGUGGGCAGUACCCCAGGCCGUUUCAACUCUCUUGCUUUUGCUCACACUGUUCCCUUUGGCUGGAAUUCCUUUUUCAUUGGGGCCAACUUCUACUCAUCUUGUAAGCCAAGCUCAGGUGUCAGGGCCUCCAGGAAGCCACGCUUGUUCCUGUGGCCAC
Molecule: long non-coding RNA, 3474 nt
Organism: Cavia porcellus (domestic guinea pig)
Lineage: Eukaryota; Metazoa; Chordata; Mammalia; Rodentia; Caviidae
Exons: 3
Source: RefSeq, a predicted model, not a curated record